This is a transfer RNA of Neurospora crassa OR74A, 80 nucleotides long. It matches the Rfam family "tRNA". From Rfam's summary of the family: Transfer RNA (tRNA) molecules are approximately 80 nucleotides in length. Their secondary structure includes four short double-helical elements and three loops (D, anti-codon, and T loops). NCBI's taxonomy places the organism in Eukaryota, Fungi, Ascomycota, Sordariomycetes, Sordariales, Sordariaceae. The record is from Rfam.
GGUUGCGUGGCCCAGUGGUUAAGGCAUCUGCUUUACAUCGUAAUCGCAGAGGAUCGCAGGUUCGAGCCCUGCCGCGAUCA